This 253-nucleotide long non-coding RNA is filed under the name Elaeis guineensis (African oil palm). RNAcentral's name for it is "long non-coding RNA (EGUI_LNC017158)". The record is from RNAcentral. Lineage: Eukaryota; Viridiplantae; Streptophyta; Magnoliopsida; Arecales; Arecaceae.
GACUACUUCCUUCACUCGAAGUCAGAAAGCCACUUCGAACUCAAAAAUGGCAGACAUGUGUUAUGCAAGAAACCUACCAAUCGGGGCAAACCUUUCCUUCGGGGUGCAUCUAAAGUGACUCGGCAAAAUUGUGCCAAAUCUAGGACCAAGACCUUGCCCCUUACACCUAUUUCGGACCACCAACUCAACUGGCCAUGUAGGUAAACCCUACGGCUAACAUCAAUGAUUAACAAUUUUGACUCAAAGGUUAGUG